CAGCAGACACAUUCCAGCCAAUCAGCAGCAGACCCUCCCUCCCAGACCUUCCCACCUCCUGGACAGCAUCCAUUUUACAUUCAUUGUGAAGCUGCAUUCUUAGUGAGCUGUCCAGGAGGUAGGAGGGUCUGGGAGGGAGGGUCUGCUGCUGAUUGGCUGGAAUGUGUCUGCUG
RNAcentral lists this microRNA precursor (173 nucleotides) under Pelobates cultripes (western spadefoot toad). Lineage: Eukaryota; Metazoa; Chordata; Amphibia; Anura; Pelobatidae. The record is from RNAcentral.